Rosa rugosa (rugosa rose) is the source of this 625-nucleotide long non-coding RNA. RefSeq lists it as uncharacterized. The transcript has 4 exons. Lineage: Eukaryota; Viridiplantae; Streptophyta; Magnoliopsida; Rosales; Rosaceae. The record is from RefSeq and is a predicted model, not a curated record.
CAAAAAAUUAAAUUCCAGCGUACAUAAGCCAACACGACCUUCACUUACCUGAGAUGACUGUAAGAGAAACAAUUGAGUUGUCAGCCCGCUGUCAACGUAUUGGAAGCAGAGCUGAUAUAAUGCUAGAGGUUAGCAGGAGAGAAGGAAGCAGGAAUUGUUCCUGAUCCAGAUAUUGACACCUACAUGAAGGCAAUCUCAGUUGAAGGACAAAAGAAAAACCUCCAAACUGACUAUGUUUUGAAGUUGAUCUUCUGUGGUUUUUCACUAUUAAUCCUAAGCUGUUACAAUAUGAAGUGAAUGCCAGAUGCGGCAUGUCUCAACACCAGAUGAACCAACUGAUGGAAUUUAAUGUAUUUUUGUUGUCCAACCAUUUUUGUAACCAGUAUCAAAAGCAACUUUGGUUAGAAUGUUGAAUUUUUGAAAAUCGUAAAUAGCCAAGCUUAGUCUGUUUGGAACUUCGAUUUUUGAAACAUGUAAAUAUAUGAAUCUGGUUAGAACACCAGAUUUUGAAAUAUGUAAAUAUACAUCGUUCAAUGAAAAAUGUACGCAUAUACCCGUAGCAUCCUGCGAGAUGUCUAGCUAGACUCCAAGUUAACCUGUAUGGCAGUUUAUCAGUUCAGUUUAU